CUUGAUAUCUUCAGAUUUUUCAACUGUAGCCAUUUGAAUCUACUUAAAAUUAUUGGAGAAAAUACAACUACAAUUAAAAAUAAAAUAAAAUGAAUAAAAUAUCUUCAGGCUAAGGCGCGGAUAUCUCGCUCUCUUUAAGGAGAUUCAAGCCCACUGCAGCAAAGUUUUUCACUGGUCCAGGAGUAUUCCUCUUGACCUGUCUUCCCCAGGAUACAACAGCCUGAUCACGUCGUAUGGCUCGAACAAACUCUGGACUAGUUGUUGAGUCCAAAGCUCCACCAAGAUGAACACAUUCCUUCAACAAAAGUAUUAAAAAAAAAUCUCUUCUUCUUUUUUUCAUAACUUUAACCUCACUUUAUAGAAACAACUCU
RNAcentral lists this long non-coding RNA (371 nucleotides) under Nicotiana benthamiana. RNAcentral's name for it is "long non-coding RNA (NBEN_LNC035018)". The record is from RNAcentral. Lineage: Eukaryota; Viridiplantae; Streptophyta; Magnoliopsida; Solanales; Solanaceae.